This 253-nucleotide ribosomal RNA is filed under the name uncultured bacterium. RNAcentral describes it as "partial 16S ribosomal RNA". It matches the Rfam family "Bacterial small subunit ribosomal RNA", at positions 524 to 776 of the family's 1533-position model. The record is from RNAcentral.
GACAGAGGUGCCGAGCGUUAGGCGGAAUCACUGGGCUUAAAGCGUGUGUAGGCGGGCGGGCAAGUACCUUGUGAAAUCCCACGGCUCAACCGUGGAACGGCUGGGUAUACUGCCUGUCUUGAGCCAGCUAGGGGCGAGCGGAACAGACGGUGGAGCGGUGAAAUGCGUAGAUAUCGUCUGGAACGCCGAAGGUGAAAACAGCUCGCUGGGGCUGUGCUGACGCUGAGACACGAAAGCCAGGGGAGCGAACGGG